UACGUAGGGGGCAAGCGUUGUCCGGAUUUAUUGGGCGUAAAGAGCGUGUAGGCGGCCAGGUAGGUCAGCUGUGAAAACUCGAGGCUCAACCUCGAGACGCCGGUUGAAACCAUCUGGCUAGAGUCCGGAAGAGGAGAGUGGAAUUCCUGGUGUAGCGGUGAAAUGCGUAGAGAUCAGGAAGAACACCGGUGGCGAAAGCGUUCUGCUAGACCUGUACUGACACUGAGGGACGAAAGCUAGGGGAGCGAAUGGG
Molecule: ribosomal RNA, 253 nt
Filed under: uncultured bacterium
Lineage: Bacteria
Description: partial 16S ribosomal RNA
Rfam family: Bacterial small subunit ribosomal RNA
Source: RNAcentral